This is a non-coding RNA of Pelobates cultripes (western spadefoot toad), 222 nucleotides long. Lineage: Eukaryota; Metazoa; Chordata; Amphibia; Anura; Pelobatidae. The record is from the annotation of a GenBank genome assembly.
GAGAGCAGCUGCUAAAAUACCAUUACAUAGCAGCAAGCAGAUAUUUGAAGCUGCUGGUGCCUCUGGAGUCCCACGGACAUCAAGGUGUAGAGUCCUCCAGAGCCUUGCAACUGUGCAUAAACCUUCUAUUUGGCCACUACUAACCGAUGCUCACAAGCAGAAAAAUACAUGAAGACUAAUUUUCAAACAGUCCUGUUCACUGAUGAGUGCCGUGCAACCCUG